This 1908-nucleotide long non-coding RNA is filed under the name Elaeis guineensis (African oil palm). RNAcentral describes it as "long non-coding RNA (EGUI_LNC025387)". The record is from RNAcentral. Lineage: Eukaryota; Viridiplantae; Streptophyta; Magnoliopsida; Arecales; Arecaceae.
GUGCGCAGUCUUGUUCCUACAUAUAAAAAAAAAGCUAUUUCCGUAUGUCAGACCAUUACACCUAGGUUACAAUAGCAUAACUUUAUCAUUGCACUAAAGCCCGUACUUAUGCUAAAUCUAUGGUGAUUAUUUUAAGUCAAAAUAAAAUCCCCUUCUUUGAUUACAAUUUACAUCACUCAAAAUGCAACCAAAAAACAAAAACAGUUUUAUAAAGCUUUCUUAUAUGUUCACUACUUGGCCUCAAAAUAGUAUUUUCUAACAAGAUAUAUAAGGCUCGAGCUGAUUUAGUUUUUGAAGGUUCUAGACAGCCGAAUUUUUAGCCUAUAUGCAUUCUCAGAUAUGUGAAUCAAGAUGGACAAGCAUGAUCUCUCAAUCUAGACAACCCACCCCGCAUCUAUUUAUAGAUACGCAUAACAGAGAUAUUACACACGGAGAGCAGAUUAUGUGCAGGAGAAAAAUCAUAAAAGUCUUCUGAUGUUUUUGCACACUGAUGUUCCCUGAGAGGUCUCUCUCAGUGAAAGAAGAAAAGGAUGUAUGCGGAUUAUUCAUAUAUACAUUGUUGGGUGAAGAAGAGGGUGCUAACUAUUACACACACAGAAACACGUCGAGUCCUAUCAGCGACCGCAGUACAAGUGAUAAAAAAUGCAGCGACGAGCAAGUAAUGAUGAUCAUGCCAAUGAAGCUACCUAUUGGAGACGGGGUUCGGGCCACUGGGGACUUCAUGCUUGCUCUCUUCAAACUGGGAAGAUGAUGGGACGCCAUUCUCCGGAUGCAACUUGGUGGAUUGGGAUGCAGAAUGGGAGAGAAGCCGCCGAGUGGAGAAAGGGGCCAUGGAGAUCCUCAGCUGAUGUGUUGGCCGAGCCAAGGGCAGUAGAAAGAGGCAGAGGAACCAUAAGAGCAGCAGCUUUGAUCUCCUAAGACUUCGGUCCAUUGCCAUGCGGAUUCCAGUCUGAAGACCUGAAACUUCCCCCCCAAGAGCCCGCAAGAGAUCAAUAUCCAUGAACCAGCUGAGCCAACAAAGUGAGGAAAGCCUUCGAAUGAGAAAAAGGAACACAUGUAAAGAUAAGCGGAAAAGGCCAAACCUUACUGCUUGGAUUCAAAGUAUGACAAAAGAGUCAUUGAAUAGGGAUGGAGCUGUUACAUGGGUAUCCCUUACCUUAUCUACCUUCUAAUUGAUGGGUUGUUAGGACUCAUUGAAUGAGAUGACAUGUGACACCAUGUUUCCUUCAAAUGACAUGUGCCUCCGGCGGUGUGGCAGGGAGCCUCGGACUUGAAAGAGUCCAGACUCUUUAUGGCCUAUCUUUCCACAAGACUGACCACCACCAUCAUCAUCAUAGAAGAUGGAAUGCUAAUUUGGGGUAUGAACGAUUUGAAGGAGUGGUUACCGAAUGAUUUGUUGCACACUUCAGGGUAGACAUCAAAAGCUAUGGUUCACUCCAAAUCAAGACCAGCAUUUAAAGCAUCAUGAUUUAAUGUUAUCAUUCUUGAGCAUCAAUAGCAAACAUUGGUUACCUAAGACUGUUCGGGUUACUCAAUUCGGUGAAGUAAAUCGACGUCAUCCCUUAUCUUGAGAUCAGCCUUUGUUUGGAUUCAGCAAUUUGGAUGACUAAGGGUGCAAAAGAGCAGGAUGAACCUGGAUCCUACUGGUUGGGACCCAAAAAAAAACCGAAAAAUACUGGACUCUCUCUCUCUCUCUCAUAAUCUUACAGAAGGGUUCGGGUUUAGCAGAAACCGUUCGUACUUGAAUCGGACUAAACCGAGCUACAAAGGCUGAUAUAUCUGAAGAGUUGAGAUUAACACCCAUCCAACAAAAAUAUAGUUUACCAUGAGCCAAAAUUGGACCAAUCAUGGAAGUUCAAAUGGUGAUUCUCAACUGGAAACUAGCUCAUCAUUUCAAUACAAGCCAGG